Molecule: non-coding RNA, 501 nt
Organism: Neoarius graeffei (lesser salmon catfish)
Lineage: Eukaryota; Metazoa; Chordata; Actinopteri; Siluriformes; Ariidae
Source: the annotation of a RefSeq genome assembly
UGGAGCUUCAUGAACCUUUAUGAUGUGAACAUAUCAUAGUACAGAAAGAACACUUUCACUCAGCUGAGACCAUUCAUCAUGUUCACUGUUAUAUUCAUGUGUCUGUGGCUUUCACUCGGUGACUCCAUGGCAGAUUCAAUCGAGACACAUUUCACUCAUACAGUGAUAGAUGAAGGCAGUGAUGUUACUCUGUCCUGCAGCUACAAAAAAUUCAGUGGUACAGUGACCAACCUGUACUGGUACAGACAAUAUCCAAACUCUAAACCUGAGUUCCUUCUGUAUAUCUUACCAAGUGGACUCCAAAGUGACUCUAACUUACCACGUCUCUCUGCUAAAGUUGAUGAAAAGAAUAAAAAAGUGCAUCUGCUCAUCUCCUCUGCUGCUGUAUCAGACUCUGCACUAUACUACUGUCCCCACAAUAGCUUGGCGAUCUGUCCAAGGUAUACCCCUCCACUGUCAGCUGGUAUUGGCUCCAGCUCACCCGACACCUGCAAUGAAUAA